Molecule: ribosomal RNA, 460 nt
Filed under: uncultured bacterium
Lineage: Bacteria
Description: partial 16S ribosomal RNA
Rfam family: Bacterial small subunit ribosomal RNA
Source: RNAcentral
CCUACGGGGUGCAGCAGUGAGGAAUAUUGGUCAAUGGACGAGAGUCUGAACCAGCCAAGUAGCGUGAAGGAUGACUGCCCUAUGGGUUGUAAACUUCUUUUAUAUGGGAAUAAAAUGUUCCACGUGUGGGAUUUUGUAUGUACCAUAUGAAUAAGGAUCGGCUAACUCCGUGCCAGCAGCCGCGGUAAUACGGAGGAUCCGAGCGUUAUCCGGAUUUAUUGGGUUUAAAGGGAGCGUAGGUGGAGUGUUAAGUCAGUUGUGAAAGUUUGCGGCUCAACCGUAAAAUUGCAGUUGAAACUGGCAGUCUUGAGUACAGUAGAGGUGGGCGGAAUUCGUGGUGUAGCGGUGAAAUACUUAGAUAUCACGAAGAACUCCGAUUGCGAAGGCAGUUCACUGGACUGCAACUGACACUGAGGCUCGAAAGUGUGGGUAUCAAACAGGAUUAGAUACCCUUGUAGUC